This is a long non-coding RNA of Mus musculus (house mouse), 3926 nucleotides long. RefSeq annotates it as RIKEN cDNA 9530018F02 gene. The transcript has a single exon. The record is from RefSeq and is a predicted model, not a curated record. NCBI's taxonomy places the organism in Eukaryota, Metazoa, Chordata, Mammalia, Rodentia, Muridae.
CGUCCCCCGUCGCCGCCGCCGCUGCCUCCAGCUGCAGCUGGCCGCGGCGGGAGAGUGGGAGGGGUGCUGGGGUGGAGGAUGCUACUCCCGACUGAAGGGAGAGGAAGAAACGGAAACAGGAACCGCGGCCGCCGCUUAACGGAGCCUUCGGCGCCACUGACUGAGGGAAAGCGCAAGGCGGCGCGAGCCAGGCAGCGGCUGACAGCGCGAGACCGAGCGCGAGCCGGGUCCAGGACGCGCGACCCCGAGCAGCGCCGGCCCCAUUCCGUGAGGAAAGGGAGGGACGGGUUGGCUGGGAGCCGGGGAGGGGGCGGCGGGGGCCUGGAGCCCAGAGAACCCGGCCACUCGGGUCGGCCCGAGACCACGCGCGCACGCGCCGGAGUGGCUCCGACCGGGAGCGCAGGCGGGGAAGCCGCCGGCCGGCGCGAGCGAGGGAGCGAGCGAGCGAGCGUGCGCGCGCGGAGAGGGGCGCGCGCCCCUCGGCGUCCCAGCCUGCUGGGGGAGGGCGCGCAUGCGCCGGCCGCGGCCUCCUCCAGCGACCCUGGCAUGUGCACAGGCUCCGCCCCGUCCCCUUCCUCUCUGUGCGGGUGGACAGCGGAGCUGCAGCAUCCACCGGGCCACGGCGGGACCCGAGUUCCAGCCGGACAGCGGCCGCGCGCGGGCUCCGGCUUUGGUCUCUACAGGCGAAGGCCGCCUGAGGGUCGGAGGCUGAGGGGAGCAGCGCUCCCCACGCCCUGGCCGGCCUGGCCCACCACCCAGAGGCGCACCCCGCUGGGGCUCAAUAGGGCUCUGUACUAGUUUCGGGGUACUCUCUGCUGCUCAUCCGCUGAGGCACCAGCACACAGUGCCACCUCGGCUCCGGGCGGUCCGGCUACCCUGCGGGCUCUGUCUUCAUCUGAAGAGAAAGAACCCCGCAGAGCCCGAGUUCGAAGCCCGGCCGUUCGCAGCCGCUGCUGCCUCAGCCCUUCGGAGGCGGAAGUUUAUUGAGUACAGGAGAGGAGAGGCUUUUCCCUAGGAUGCUUCCUACCCGCUCGCACUCGGGGAUCCUGACGCCCGCGAUGCUGAGCCGAGUGCCGAAGGGCUACCUCCGACAGACCGUCCGGGAGGGCGAGCUGGGCGGGAGGACCCAGCCGCGCAGCCAGGGCACACAAAGUAGUCGCGGGCCGAAGGGGUGCUGCCGGGGCCAAUCAGAGCGGGAAAACCAGUGAGUGGAGUGCGAACUGGCCAAUCAGAGGGCCGGAAGAUGAGCUUCCCGUGCCGAACUCUUCCCUGUAGCCUGGGGACCAGAUCCCAAGCCUGAGGACUCAGCCGGGUGACUGAGUAGAAAAGCUGCCCUCAAGACAAUUAUUCCUCCCAGCACAGAUAAAUACUAGUAAAUACUUUGGAAACGUAUCUCUGAGUAAACAGGGCCACCCUUUUAUAUGCUAGUAAUCAAAAAAACACAGAAAAGACAUUAAAGAGGUCGUAGCCUGCCAAGAAUGCAACCUACCUAAUAACUCUCAUAAAUUCCCAAUGUUUAUUCUAUAUCAGGAACUGUGUUUCUAAAAUGCAAAGGACAGUGCUUUUUAAAAAGGAAAAAAAAAAAAAUGCCUGUGCCUUCAGGAGCUCCGCACCCUGAGAAGCUUUUCCGGACCUGUGACUGGGUUAAUGUCUCUUCGAAAUAAAGCUCUCUGAGAAAACACCGUGGCUUAUUGAAGGUCACACAAAACUCUGGUGAAGUCAGAAUUAUGAUCUAGCCAAAAAGCUUGGGUGUCAUCAUUCAACAAAUCUGUAGUCAUUUAUUAAAUGCGUAGAUAACUUCCGUGAGACUCUCAGUUCUCUGUUGCAAAUAAGCAAAAUUUAGGCUUAUACUGUACUUAGAUGGAUUAAGGGCUAAAAUUUCAACAGUCAAAACCCUGAAUUAUUUUUCCUUUUGUGUGAGUAUGUGCAUGCUAAGGGUGUGUUUUCUCCUGGGCUACACCCACAGCCUGGAACAUUUUUAGGAGUCAGAGGUAAAAUGUUUACUUUGAGGCUUCAGCACAGCAUUUAAAAAGCACUUUAACAAGGAUGUAUGGCUUGAAUGUAUUCAAGGGAAAAAGAGGAACCAUUUCUAGUUAAUUAACACACGCUACCAUUUGCAGUACUUGAAGAUCUCUACAUUCAAAGUUUUAUGUGUGCCUCGAACUCUCUGCUCCUUUAAUCUGGCUUUAAUUAUCUCCUAGGAAAUAUUAAAACUAUAGGAAUCAAAGCAUCCCACCUACUUUCUAUUUAAGAAAAAGCCACUAGAAAUAUUUGUGAAGAACUUAGUACAUCUUUAUAGAACAGCAUAGUAUAUAAGAAAGCGCCAAACUGAUGACUCUGAAAUACAGUGAGAAAGUAGUUCUUCAGCAGUUCAGGUCUCUGCUCAGUGUCACAGUACGCUGCUCUCAAAGAUCCUUCAGGCCAUGCUCAGGAUAUAGUUACCAUCCCAGAAUUAGAAGUAUCAGCUAAGCAACUGAUAUGUGGGAACAAAUCUUUUCACAUUCAGUUCUAGACCAGUAAUGAAUUUCUGGAAAAUUCAAACAAGAAGUAAUACUAACUGAGCUCUUUGAAAACUACAGUCUUAAAUCGAUCGAUUGCUGCGACGCAUACCUGAUUCUAGCACUGAGGAGGGAAAGCUGAGGCCAAAGGAUUGUUUUAAGUUAUAGUCUAGCCUGGACUAUCUAGUGAGCUAGAAAGACCCUGUCUCAAAUAAUAGUAGUGACUAAUUGAUUCCAAAAAAAAUUGGGAAGGAAGGCUCAGUUUUGGGAGUGUUUGUCUAGCAUACUACAAAUCCUAGAUUCAACCUCCAACACUAUAAAGGAAAAUAUAUAUAUAUAUUACUACAUGUCUUCUAUUCUCUCCAAAGGGACUCUGUAACUCAAAUCUUCCACAAGCCAGUUAAGUGUUAACCGGUUGUACACAUCACUCACAGAGAGCACACCUUGUGAGGGCGUUUUCUCUAUAGUCUGCAGCCUCCCACUCUGUGGCUGAAACUCCUCACACUCUCUCUUCUCGCUCCAGCUGCUCACUUGGGUCUCUAGUCCCUGGCUUCUGAUUUGCAUUAACACAAGAUGGGAUGUCACCUCAUCCCCCACUGUUCCCUUCUGAAAUGAAGUCAUGAGCCUAUCUUUACUUAGCCUCAAAAUCACAGACAGGUUCAGCACAAGAAAAAAAAAUUUUUUUAAGUUUAAAUUUAAAGAAAAAAAAAAAAAAACUUCACAACAUUCUCAUCACCUGUUACACUAAGAACGAGAGGGCCCUAGCAGCUCAUUAGUUUCUUCUGUGGUUCAGCCGGGGUUAAUUCUUAGUCAUCAGUUAGAAGUGUGGAUGUGAGAAGUGAAGGGGUCAACUCCUAGAUAAUGGGAAAUAUCCAAAUGAAAGUGAGGUACAUGAGUGGUUACUUUAUUGAGAGAUUAGCUAGAUCAAAGUUAAUGAACUUGAAUGCUAUCAUAUUUCCUAAGUGGUGAACAUUCAUGUAGAAACUAGUUUGAAAUUUACUACCAUUUUACUAUGCCUAUAAUAAAAAUAAUACUGGAGGUGUAACAUUGCUGAGAACAAGGCCCCAUGUUAAACUCUUUUCUUCCACCAUUUAAUUCUCCAAUCAAACCUUUGAGGUAUCUCCUAUGACUAGAGUGGGGGAAUCAGGAGACUCAGCAACAUCUGCUUAAGAAGUAACUUAAAACUAUUGCAUCUCUACCAAUGUAUACCAACUAAUGUAGUUCUAGAAACAUUCUUGAUAACUUUUACUUUUCUUUGUUUUAUAGUAGUUAUAUGCCUUUUCACCUCUACGAUAUUCUAUUUUUCAGGAAAUCAGAAAAAGGAUAAUACAGUUGCUACUGUGGACAAGAAGAUAGGACCUUGAAUAACGAUUUUUAUGCAUUGACUACCUCCUGCUUUCUCAUCUGUAAAAUAAAGAAAUUAUUCUA